Nomascus leucogenys (northern white-cheeked gibbon) is the source of this 2318-nucleotide RNA transcript. It is a transcript of the gene named transmembrane protein 198-like, with no coding region annotated. NCBI's taxonomy places the organism in Eukaryota, Metazoa, Chordata, Mammalia, Primates, Hylobatidae. The record is from RefSeq and is a predicted model, not a curated record. The transcript is spliced from 4 exons.
AUGAGAGGAGCUGACACUUCCCCCUCUGUGACCACUUUCUCUUUGGCCAUGGAGGAAGUCUUGCUGCCCCUGGCUGUGACAUCUGACCCCAGGCCCUUUAAUCAACAACUCCCAGAGCCUCCAGACCCAAAAUGUGUUUUGGAACCCCAGGACAAUCCUGAACUGGCACCUGCCCUGGUGUGUGCCCUUUGCUGCUGCUUUGGAAUCAUCUACUGCUGCUUCAUGAUGUUUCUCUCCGGUCAGCUGUCAGGAGCGCUGUUGAGCUUCCUACUGUGCCACAAGGUGCGGGUGCUGGAGACACAGCUGAGCCUAGAAAUGAGAGUGGGCAUCGCCGUGGUCAUCAUGAUUCCUCUGCGGCGUGGUCACCGUGUUGGUUCACUGUGUUGGGCUCUUAUUGACUGGUCUCCUGCUAGGCCUGACCUUGGGUGCCAGAGCCCUGCUGGCUUCCGAGCCUAUCUACCAACCACCUUCAGCCUAGGUGCCAGCUGGGGGGCUGGUGGGGCUGGCGCUGCUGGGAUCCCUGCUCACGCUUUGGUGGCCACGUCCAUUCACAGUUCUGGGCACAGCCCUGCUGGGUUCUGCAGUGCUUGUGGCCUGUGUUGACUACUUCCUGGAGGGGCUGGCACUGGGCAGUCAGCUGGGCCAACGCCUGCAGACACUUCCAGCCUUGCCUUCUCACUGCUGAUAUAGCUGGGUCUUACUGGGGAUCUGGCCAGCCUUGGGGGCCCUUGGGGCCCUGGCCCAGUGGAAGCUCGUGCCUGAGGAACAUGGAGGCCACGCUAAUGUAGUCUUAAGCCACCAGCAAAGCCAUCUCCAACUCCUUCAGACCCUUCAGCAAAAGGCCAAAUGGCACUGGAUCCCCUCUGGGGUGGGGCUUUGUGAGGGCAGCUGUCGGCACCAGCUCCCUGCCAGUAUCUGCAGCCCUGCUGACAGUCUCGCUCCAAGUUACUUCCAGAGUCUUCAAGAGUGCCAACUGGGACCAGGACCCCAGGCCACAGCCCCCCACACCGUCCUGGACCUGGAUUCUGACUGUGGUUCCACUGUACCCCUCACCUUAAUCUCUGGUUCUAACCAGACCUGAGCCUAGACUUCCACUUUUUCCCUCACCCCUGUGAGGGCCUGGGAACACUAGGUGGGCAGGGUUUGAGCCCAUAGGACCUGCACACAAACUUCCCCACCUCUUGGACUUGGGGACAGGAUCUGUGCCUCAACCCAGACCAGCCUUGUAGGGAUAUGUUCCAAGAACAGAGAAGAGUCUUAUGGGGAAGGGGGAGGAAGGGAAGUAUGAAUAUUUACCUCUGACCAAUAAUAGAGGUGCCCUGGUCCCCAAAGAAACUGACUCCCGAAUUCCCUCCAAGCCUUACCCAUAUAGCUUUUUUUUUUUUUUUUGAGGCAAGGUCUUGUUGUGUCCAGUGCCAUGGCAUGAUCACAGCUCAUGACAACUUUGAUUUCCCCGGCCCAAGCGAGCCUCUCAUUCAGCCUCCUGAGUGGCUGGGAUCACAGACGCCACACACAGCUAAUUUUUAUUUAUUCGUUUUUAUUUUUUUGCAGAGACAAGGUCUCCCUACGUUGCCCAAGCUGGUCUUGAACUCCUGGGCUCAAGUGAUCCUCCUGCUUCAGCCUCCCAAAGUGCUAGGAUUACAGCCACCUCACCUGGUCUUGAAAUAGCCUUUUAAAUAUCCACCUCAGCGUGCCUCACAGUGGUAAAAAUAAGCGUUUUUUUGUUUUGUAGGAUCAGGGAGCUUCCAAGGCAUUUGAUAGCUUUUUGAUGGGAAGAAGGGCUCUGAGGAGCUCCAAGAUACCCCAACCUCCAGGCCCUUCAUUAGAGGGUAGUUGGGUUUCUGUUUGGCCUUUCCCCCUGGGCCCCAUAGGCUUAAACUACCCCCACCCACCCCCCAGCCUCCUACCUCAGCUGGGAGCACUAUCUUCCAUGGUGCUUCCACUUCUCUCCUCAACCUGGGGAAGACCACAGGGCAGUGCCUGCCUCAGGACCUGCCUUCCCCAAAAGCUGGCUUCUUGCUCCAAGGAGAGAGCAUUGGCCCGCCUGCCAGAGUCUUGCCUUUUGCCCAAAGGAGCCUGGUCUUCAGGGCUGCAUAGGAGACAAGUGCCUUCUCUGCUUCUCACUGUGGGUGGCACUAAUUUCCUCCUUAACCAGAACUUUGUUCCAGCCACUAACCCAUUCUAACUCUUCCCCCUCUGACUCUCCUGCCCAAGGUCUGUUUCUGGUUUCCCAGAUGCAUAAAGGAAGACAUAUCCCUUCCCUGGGCAGCAAGGCUACAAUGGGAGGGAGGGAGAACAUGUGAAUAAAAUGGCAUUAA